Long non-coding RNA from Thalassophryne amazonica, 104 nucleotides. RefSeq lists it as uncharacterized. NCBI's taxonomy places the organism in Eukaryota, Metazoa, Chordata, Actinopteri, Batrachoidiformes, Batrachoididae. The transcript is spliced from 3 exons. The record is from RefSeq and is a predicted model, not a curated record.
GUACCUUUUCACUCCUUCUCUAGACUCUGGGACCUUGAUUUUCAAAUGAAAUGCUAAAUUUACUUUUGUCUGAAAAGAAGACUUUUGACAACUCAGCAGCAUUC